GUGCUCACUUUGGCAGCACAUAUACUAAAAUUAGAAUGACACAGACAAGAUCAGCAUGGCCCCUGAGCAAGAAUGACCCACAAAUUNGUGAAGAAUUGGAAUUAUAA
This 107-nucleotide small nuclear RNA is filed under the name Neotoma lepida (desert woodrat). Lineage: Eukaryota; Metazoa; Chordata; Mammalia; Rodentia; Cricetidae. The record is from RNAcentral.